Molecule: long non-coding RNA, 8440 nt
Filed under: Nicotiana tabacum (common tobacco)
Lineage: Eukaryota; Viridiplantae; Streptophyta; Magnoliopsida; Solanales; Solanaceae
Description: long non-coding RNA (NTAB_LNC005634)
Source: RNAcentral
UUUAUUCUUAUCCUAUAAAUUUUGAAAAUAUGUGUGGAUUGUGGGAGAAUUUUCAAAUUUUAACUAGCCAUGGGUCUUUUUUAUUUUACAAGUGUCCUAUCUAUUUCCAAGUGGCUUCUUGCAUAAAGCUUCGUGGCCAAAUACUCUUAGAUAAUUGGUACAUGAAAAGUACAAUUUGCGGAAACCAACACAGCCUAACAUCGGGGUGUCACCAGUCAUGAGCAUCUAACACAAAUCUAAGAGUAUGAAAGAGUUUAUAUAGUCUAUUACCGAAUUAGAACAAGGGAAGUAAAAUACGAGGGAGAAACACUAGGCUGGGAACGCCGAGCUACUACCUAGUGGACUCCGAAUAGCCUGCUGGGAGCAAUCAACCCUCAAUGGUGGGACCUGAAGCUCUUAAAUUUGCACACAGGGUGCAGGGAGUAAAGUGAGUACUCCAACUCAGUGAGUAAUAACAAUAAAUAAAGACUGAGCGAUAAGAAAUCACGUAAAACACAACAACAUGCUAUAAAGAGGUAGUGUAAAACCAAUAAAAAGCAAUAAAAUAGUGAAAUCUUAUAAAAACACCUUAGUUAAGUAUAAGCUUCUUUAAAACACAUUUUUAACAUCUAAACAAGUAAAUGAAAAGCAACAAGAAAGAUACACACAUAAAAUCCGCCCCUCGGGCACAAUGUUAACAAAAUCAGCCCCUCGAGCAAUAACAUGGAACAACACCAGCCCAUCGGGCUAUAUCACAUAUCACACUAGGUACCCGCGCUCACUAGGGGUGUACAGACUCCGGGAGGGGCCCCUUACGGCCCAAGCACAAUAUCAAGUCAUCUCGUGGCAUAAUCAAUAGGCUCUCGGCCUCACAUCAAGCCACAUUGUGGCGUACAACUUAGGCCCUCGACCUUAUAAUCAUAAUCAGUACAACACUGCUGCGGCCUGAAGCCUGAUCACAUAAUAAUCCUCACAACACAGGCCCUCGGCCAUACUCAGUCAGAAAUCUCUAAAAGCCACUCGGGCAAAGUAAAACAUGAUGCUCGGCCCCAAAAUAUCAUAUAAGAUGUCAAAACAGAAUAAACAUGGAUGGGUUAUAAAAACAAUAAAGUAUAGCAUGACUGAGUACAAGUAUAAAGUUAAAACAGUGAGGAAAUAGUAGUAAAAGUCCCCUAAGGAUCAAAACAGUUGGUACGAGGCCCAAAUAUGGCAUUCAGCCCAAAACAUGAUGAUAGCAAAUAAUUUUCAAUCAAAUAUGUAGUAAAAUAGUCAUACGGGAUGGACUAAGUCACAAUCUCCAACGGUGCACGACCCCAUGCUCAUCAUCUAGCAUAUGCGUCACCUCAAUACAACACAACAAUGUGAAAUCUGGGGUUUCAUACCCUUAGGACAACAUUUACAAUCAUUACUCACCUCUACCCGAUCCGAACUCUAGCCCACGAUGCCCUUGCCUCUCGAAUCGGCCUCCGGAUGCUCCAACUCUAACCAAAAUCACUGCAAACCCAUAGAAAUAUGCUAAGGUAACAAAGCCCACUCGAAAGAAAUCAAAUUACAACCCAAAUCCCAAAAUUGGCUAAAUAUGACCCCCAGGCCCACAUCUCGGAAUCCAAUUAAAAUUACAUCAAUAGACUCCUUAUCACUCCCCGAGUUCAUUCAUAUCAAAAUCACCAAAAUCCAACCACAAACGACCCCUCAAAUCCCAAAUUCUAGGUCUCCAAUUACAAGCCCUAGUUCUUCAAUAUUUAGGCUUAAAUUCUAGAAAUUCCAUGGUUAAUUAGGUAGAAAUCACAUUAUAAUUGAGUAUUAAAUCCGUAAAUCUUACCUCCAAGUUUUCCCCCUUGAUUCCCUCUUCAAUCGUCUUCAAAAAGCUUCAAAAUCACCCAAAAAUGGAGGAACUUAUGCUCAAAAUCACGGAAUAGGCCUUUUAAACAUUCUACCCAGCUAUUUCAAUUCCUUCUUUGCGAAUUCGGUCAACGCCUUGCAUUCGCGAAUCGUAAACUUAAGUUGACAAAUUUUCCUUCUUCGCGAACACGUCUCUCCUCUCGCGAACGUAAAGGCUCAACUUCCCAGCCAAUCGCGAAUGCAGCUCCCAUCUCGCAAACGCGUAGCUUGAUGCCCCCAACCCUUCGCGAACGCGGGACCUCCCUCGCGAACGUGAAGGCCAAACCUUUAGCCUCACAUUCUAGCCCUUAGCGAACAUGAAGGUCCACUCACGAACGCGAAGCACUACUGUUUGCAACACUACAACAAAUGUUUCUGCAAUUUAUUCAACAUGAAAUGGUCCGUUUGACCACCCAAAACUCACCUGAGGCCCUCGGGACCUCAACCAAACAUGGCAACAUGUCCCAUAACAUCAUUCAAACUUGUUCCAACCUUUGGAACGCUCAAAACAACAUCAAAACACCAAAUUUGCAUCGGAUUCAAGCCUAAGAAUUCUAAAAACUUCCAAAUUCCGCUUUUGAUCAAAAAGUCUACCAAACCACGUCCGAAUGACCUAAAUCCCAAAUGACACAAAGGACCUACUGCAACUCCCUAAAUUCCAUUCCGAACCCUAUAUCAAAAUCUCACCUAUCAACCGGAAAUCGCCAAAAUUCCAAUUUUGCCAAUUCAAGCCUAAAUCCACUCCUGACCUCCAAAACACAUUCCGAUCACGCUCCUAAGUCCCAAAUCACCUCCCGAAGCUAUCCGAACCAUCAGAAAUCACAUCUGAUACCUUUAACACAUAAGUCAACAUCCGGUUGACUUUUUCAACUUAAGCUUCCUCAAAAUAGACUAAGUGUCUCAAACCUUACCUAAACCUCUCCGAACCCGAGUCAACCAACCUGAUAAUACAAAAUACAACUGAACAAGGCAAUAAGAAGCAAAAAUUGGGGAAAUGGAGCGGUAACUCAUAAAACGACCGGUCGGGUCGUUACAUCCUCUCCCUCUAAAACAAAUGUUCAUCCUCGAACGAGUCAAGAAACACACCGGAUACCUCAAAUAUGAGAGGAUAUCUUCUCCGCAUAUCCCCUUCGGUCUGCCAGGAAGCCUCCUCCACGAGCCGACCUCUCCACUGCACUUUCAUUUAAAUUAUAUCCUUUGACCUCAACUUUCGAACCUGAUGCUCCAAAAUAGCUACUGGCUUCACAUCAUAAGUCAAAUCAUCAUCUAGUUGAACCGUGCUAAAAUCUAAAACGUAAGACGGAUCCCUAAUAUAUUUCCGGAGAAUAGAAACAUGAAAUACCAGAUGCACACUUGACAAGCUGGGUGGCAAAGCAAGCUCAUAAGCCACCUCCCCAAUCCUCCGAAGCACCUCAAACGGCCCAAUGAACCGAGGACUCAAUUGACCCUUCUUACCAAAUCUCAUAACACCCUUCAUGGAUGAACGCUUCAACAGAACCUUCUCACCAACCAUGUAGGAUACAUCCCGAAUCUUCCGGUCAGCAUAACUCUUUUGUCUCGACUGCCCAUUAUGAAGCCUCUCCUGAAUUACCUUCACCUUUUCUAAAGUAUCCUGCACCAAGUCUGUCCCCAAUAGCCUAGCCUCACCCGGCCCAAACCAACCAACUGGAGAUCUACACCGCCUCCCAUACAAAGCCUCAUAUGGAGCCAUUUGAAUGCUCGACUGGUAGCUAUUGUUAUAAGCAAACUCCGCGAGCGGUAGAAACUGAUUCCAUGACCCUCUAAAAUCAAUAACACAAGCACACAAUAUGUCCUCCAAUAUCUGAAUAGUGUGCUCGGACUGCCCCUCCAUCUGAGGGUGAAAAACGUGCUCAACUCAACUUGAGUACCCAACUCUCGCUGCACAGACCUCCAAAACUGCAAGGUAAAUUGAGUGCCCCUAUCUGAAAUGAUGGAAAAUAGGACAUCAUACAAACAAACAAUCUCCUGGAUAUAGAUCUUUGCCAACCGCUCUAAAGUAUAGGUAGUACACACAGGAAUGAAGUGCACGGACUUGGUCAGCUGAUCCACAAUCAUCCAAAUAGCAUCGGACUUCUGCAAAGUCCGUGAGAGCCCAACUACAAAGUCCAUGGUGAUACACUCCCACUUCCACUCUAGAAUAUCCAUUUGUUGAAGCAAGCCACCCGGUCUCUGAUGCUCAUAUUUCACCAGCUGACAAUUGAGACACUAAGACACAAAUCCCACAAUGUCCUUCUUCAUUCUCCUCCAGCAAUAAUGUUGUCUUAGAUCUUGAUACAUCUUUGCAGCACCAGGAUGAAUGGAAUACCGCGAGCUAUGGGCCUCCUCCAGAAUCAAAUCCCGAAGACUAUCUAUAUUGGGCACACAUAUCCGGCCCUGCAUCCUCAACACCCCAUCAUCAUCAACAGUCACAUCUCUGGCAUUAUCGUGCUGAACUUUGUCCUUAAGGACUAGCAAAUGAGGAUCAUCAUAUUGGCGCUCUCUGAUACGAUGAAAUAAAGGAAGACCGAGAAAUCACACAAGCCAAUACCCGACUGGGAUCCGAAAUAUCCAACCUCACGAACCAAUUGGCCAAGGCCUGAACAUCAACUGGAAGAGGUCUCUCCCCAACUGGAAUAUAUGCCAAACUCCCCAUACUCGCGCCUUCUUACUCAAAGCAUCGGCCACCACAUUGGCCUUUCCCGAAUGGUACAAAAUAGUAAUAUCAUAAUCCUUUAGCAACUCCAACCAUCUCCGCUAUCUCAAAUCGAGAUCUUUCUGCUUGAACAAGUGCUGGAGGCUAUGAUGAUCAGUAAAAAACUCACAAGACACACCAUACAAAUAAUGCCUCCAAAUCUUCAACGCGUGAACAAUGGCAGCCAACUCCAAAUCGUGAACAGGGUAGUUCUUCUCAUGGGGCUUCAACUGACGAGAAGCAUAAGCAAUAACUUUACCCUCCUGCAUCAACACACACCCAAUACCAACUCUCAAAGCAUUACAAUAUACGGUAUAUGAACCUGAAGCUGAUGGCAAAACAAAUAUUGGAGUUGUGGUCAAGGCAGUCUUAAGCUUCUGAAAGCUCUCCUCACACUCAUUUGACCACUUGAAUAGAGCACCCUUUUGAGUCAACUUGGUCAAGGGCGAUGCGAAAGAUGCGAAUCCCUGAACAAACCGGCGGUAAUAACCCGCCAAACCAAGAAAGAUACGAAUCUCUGUGGCCGAGGACGAUCUGGAUCAACUCUGAACAGCCUCUAUCUUCUUCGGAUCAACCUGAUACCCUCACUGGACACCACGUGCCCCAAGAAAGCCACUGAACUGAGCUAAAACUCACAGUUGGAGAACUUUGCAUAAAGCUUCUCCUCCCUCAAUCUCUGCAACACAACUCUCAAAUGCUCCGCGUGCACCUUCUGACUAUGCGAAUACACCAGAAUAUCAUCAAUGAAAACUAUGAUGAACGAGUCGAGAUACGGUCGGAACAUAUUGUUCAUCAAAUGCAUAAACGCUGCUGGGGCAUUGGCCAGCCCAAAAGACAUCACCAAUAACUCAUAAUGACCAUAUCGGGUCCUGAAAACCGUCUUAAGAAUAUCCAAGUCCCUGAUCUUCAACUAGUGAUAACCUGAACAGAGAUCAAUCUUGGAGAACACUCUCGCUCCCUGAAGCUGCUCAAACAAAUCAUUGAUACAAGGCAAAGGAUAAUUGUUCUUGAUUGUUAUUUUGUUCAACUGCUUGUAAUCAAUGCAUAUCCUCAUAGUUCCAUCCUUCUUCACAAAUAAAACCGGUGCACCCCAAGGCGAUACACUAGGCCGAAUGAACCCCAUAUCAAGGAGUUCCUGAAACUGCUCCUUUAACUCCUUCAACUCCGAUGGUGCCAUAAGAUACAGUGGAAUAGAAAUGGGCUGAGUUCCCAGCACCAGAUCAAUACAAAAAUCACUAUCCUUGUCCGGUGGCAUGCCUGGCACGUCAGCAGGAAACACAUCGGGAAACUCCCUCACAACAUGAAUAGAAUCAAUACUUGGAGUCUCUGCACCGACAUCCCUAACAAAGGCUAGAUAUGAAAGACAACCCUUCCCAACCAUCCGCUUGGCCUUCAAGAAUGAAAUUACCCUAUUGGAAACAUAAUCAGUCGAACCUCGCCACUCAAUCCGUGGCACACCUAACAUAGCCAAUGUCAUUGUCUUAGCAUGACUGUCCAAAAUAGCACGACACGAAGAUACCAAUACAUGCCCAAUAAAACAUCGAAGUCUACCAUACAUAACAAAAACAGAUCCACUCGAGUCUCCAGACCCCCAAUAGUCACCACAUAUGACCGGUACAUGCGAUCUACAACAACAGUAUCGCCCACCGGAGUAGAUACACGAACAGAUGAAACGAGAGACUCACAGGGUAUAUCUAAAUAACGAGCAAAGUAUUAUGACACAUAAGAAUAAGUGGAACCGGGAUCAAAUAAUACAGAGGCAUCUCUGUGGCAGUCUGAGAUAAUACCUGUGAUCACGGAGUCUGAAGCAAUAGCAUCGGGUAUGUCAUACCUCCUUUUUCCUACAACCUCGUAAGGGAGUAUAAAGGGAGUUUUUUCAACUUAAAGUGAAAAUCGAAACGAGAUUAUUUAUUUAUUAAACUCAGAGUCGCCACUUGGGAUAAAUUAUGGUGUCCCAAGUCACCGGUUCAAAUCCCAAAUCGAGGAAAAGAUUGAUUCUGUAUUACAGUAUGCGAACAUAGAAAUCGGGGUAAGGAAUUCUGUUAACUCGGGAGAAGGUGUUAGGCAUUCCCGAGUUUCGUGGUUCUAGCACGGUUGCUCAACUGUUAUAAUUUGCCUAUUAUCUGAUUUUAAUACAUGUUUUAGCCUAUGGUGCCAUUUUAACUUAUUAACCGCUCUUAUUCAUUUUUAGGAAGAUUGUAACGUCAUUUAAAAUAUGUCUUGAACCACGUCACAUAAAUGCACCCGCAGUCCGCAACACAUUUUAUAUAACAUUGUCGAGAUUUGGAUUUGGGUCACAUAAAUGCGCACCCGAGUUUAGGAAGGUAAAUUAUUAAAUAGCGCGUCUAAAGAAACUACGAUGCAUUCAUUUCCUAUACUAAUCUAUUAUGGAGGUCAUGAUUUAAGGAUUGAACUACAGUACGCCCGCUAUUUUACAUUGUAACAAGACUAAGAAAUUUCAACACUUUUAUCUAUUUUUUUAAUCCUUAAGCAAAUGAUGUUGUAUCUACUAUCUACUAUAUUUACAUCCUCAUUUCACACCAAAAAGCUAAAAGACAAAUAUAUAUAUAUGUAUUAUAAAAUAUGUUGUUCCCUACUUUGCUGUCAAAGCAUAAGUUCCAUUUUUUCCAUAUAAUCCAUCUUAUAUUAUCUCAAAUAAAUAGCAACAACAAUAAGUGAAACAAAAUAUAAGAAUGGAAAUAAAAUUAAUUUUAAGGUGAAAUAUAGGUAAACAAAAAGAUCACAUAUAAGACAAAUCACAAACAUUAUUAAUAAAUCAUUUUAAAAGAGAGGACAGAAACAUUCGCAUUUUUGGAUUCAUGAUUUUUGACGCCAAAGUUUAUAAAUUCAAGCUAACCUUACCUGCCAAAUCAUUUUUCAUUAAUCUCACGCCUAAUUUUCAACCCCUGUCAGUGGAUACCAUUCCAAUUCUCUUUAACAAAAUUUAAAUUGCUUUGUCACAUUUAACAAGUAAAUAGUAGCAUAGUUUCAUGUAGUCACUAAACACAAUAUAGGCAUGAAAGGCAAUAACAAUGAAGAUAGACCGAACAAAACAUAAACAUGAAGAAUGGAUUAUCUACUAACUCAAACCACAAACAAGGUAAGGCAACAGAGGAUUCAUGACAAUAAAUUAGAAUGAAAGUAGAGAAGGAACAGAAAUGACAGACCUUUUAUAUACAUGGAAAUUUAUUGACUACAAAGAUGUGAGCUCGACGUGAGAAUUCAAACAAAACCGAACCAGGCACGGAGAACUCGCCGACGACCUCGAACAAGGAUCUGGACAAAAAUUAUAGCGACUCGACUAGAUUUGGACAGCUAUUUCGAGUGUAAAGGAAUCGGUUCGAUGGAUGUUUGCGGCUGGUUUUGGACGGCAUUUCAUUGGAUAUCUGGUGCUAAUUUUGGGACAGUUCUUUUGGGAUUUUUGGACUGUUUUUUCAGCAAUUUCGCAGCUGGUUUGGCUCCUCUUUAGAGCUCUUUUGCGGACAGUUUUUGAGGCUAGUUUGGGUGACGUUUUUGGGGUUGAAUUUCAGCUUGGUUUAGGGCUCUUUUCGUGGUGGUUUCGGGUGUUUCAGGGGUGUUUGAGCUGAAGUUUUUGAGGUUGAAAAGCUAUGGAUGAAGCUAGUUUUUGGGUGAAGCAACAACGGGUUUCAGCUACGUUUUCUUUUGGAUGCUUUUGGCUGCUUCUUAUUACUGAUUUUAGAGGGUCCUGUGGUUACUUUUGUCAUGAGAAGGGAUGGCCUUAUAUGGCUAUGAAAAUUUGAUGGAAAAAGAGAAUGAAGUUUCCACCAGGAAGAAGAAGCAAAGAAUGGCGGAUGCUCCUCUUCAAUCCAAUUGUUGCCGCUGUUUUUUAGUCUAUAUCUAGAUCCUCAAAACGGCGGAUCUAUUUUU